This 72-nucleotide transfer RNA is filed under the name Pseudobdellovibrionaceae bacterium. Its description in RNAcentral is "Bdellovibrionaceae bacterium (stromatolite metagenome) tRNA-Thr". It matches the Rfam family "tRNA". Rfam says of the family: Transfer RNA (tRNA) molecules are approximately 80 nucleotides in length. Their secondary structure includes four short double-helical elements and three loops (D, anti-codon, and T loops). Lineage: Bacteria; Pseudomonadati; Bdellovibrionota; Bdellovibrionia; Bdellovibrionales; Pseudobdellovibrionaceae. The record is from RNAcentral.
GCCGGUUUAGCUCAGUGGUAGAGCAACGGUUUUGUAAACCGUCGGUCGUCGGUUCGAUCCCGACAACCGGCU